CAACCCUCAAGACCCCUUCGGGGGACUUGGUGUUGGGGACCGGCUGUUCCCGGCCUGCUUCUUGCAGCGCCUCUAUGCCGCCCCCGAAAUGAAUUGGCGGCCUCGUCGCGGCCUCCCCUGCGUAGUAGCACAACCUCGCAACGGGAACGUGACGGCGGCCACUGCCGUAAAACAACCCCAAUUUUAUUAG
RNAcentral lists this unclassified non-coding RNA (190 nucleotides) under Marquandomyces marquandii. Its description in RNAcentral is "partial internal transcribed spacer 2". Lineage: Eukaryota; Fungi; Ascomycota; Sordariomycetes; Hypocreales; Clavicipitaceae. The record is from RNAcentral.